Callithrix jacchus (white-tufted-ear marmoset) is the source of this 8090-nucleotide non-coding RNA. The record is from RefSeq and is a predicted model, not a curated record. NCBI's taxonomy places the organism in Eukaryota, Metazoa, Chordata, Mammalia, Primates, Cebidae.
ACCCCCUUCCCCUCCCCGCGCCUCCCGGCCCCCUCCCAGCCUCCCCCUCUGGCCCUCCCCCGUCACCCUCCUCCUGCCCUCCGUCCCCACCCCCUCCCUUUCUCAUCCCCCUUCUGCGGUGGGAAGGUUUGGUGUCAAAUUAAAACCAUUGCAGGGGGAGGGGAAGGAGAGGAUGUCUUCUAUAAAAAAAGACCUAAAAUGGUUGACAGCUCCUUAAUUCGCUUUAUCCCAAGUGCAAAGUGAUCUCUCCUGAUGCCUGCCCUGAAAGUGUGGGUCGGGGAGGGGGGCGAGGUUACCGCUCGACAAAGUUUGACGACAAACUCUUCCUCCGCGUACUUUAAAAGGUGGAUUUGGCCCUAGAUCAUCCUCUGAAGAAACCUGAUCCUCUGGGCAAAAGCUUCCUUUCCCUACACCAUCAUAUAAAAUUUUGUCAAAUAAAUUUCAAGUGCAAAAAUGGGGUCUUCUUUUUUAAAGACCUGGCUCCGAGUAUUCUCCCUUACUGGUUUUCAUGUAUUCAUAAAACUCUUGAUGUAUUCCAACAGAGAAGUUCCCAGACACAAGUAAAUUUUACCUACUGAGUGAGGUAAUUUGGGGGUACUUUUUGGGUGAUAACUGAACUAAUCAUGUUAACAGAAUUCUAAGUAGUCACCCAUUGUCCAGCUUGACACACCUUUAUUUAUGCAUUUAUUUGAGACAGGGUCUCACUCUGUUUCUCAGACUGACGUGCAGUGGGCUAUCACUGCUCACUGCAGCCUUGACCUCCCAGGCUUAAGCUAACCUCCCACCUCAGCCUCCAAAGUAGCUGGGACUACAGGCAGGUGCCAUCAUGCCUCGAUAAUUUUUAAGUUUUUUUUUUUUUUGUAGAGGUGGAGUCUCCCUAUGUUGCCCAGGCUAGUCUUGAACUCUUGGCCUCAAGUGAUCCUCCUGCCUCACCCCACAAAGUGCUGAGAUUACAGGCAUGAGCCACCAUGCCCAGCCCACACUUUUUAAAAAAUAACAAAUUUAUUGAGAUAAUUUACAUGCCAUAUAAUUUAUCUAUUUGAAAUUACAUUUUUAAAAGCACUGAAAAGUUCUCUUCACUCUAGUUUAUAGAAUCCUUGGGCAGGACUCUCCCCUAUGUCUUAAAUGAACCCUAUUUUACCUAGGCUUGGCCGGGUCGUUUCCUUUAUCUUUAUUUUAGCUUGUAGAAGAGGAGGGUCCUUUCCAUAGGGAAAACUCUGGCAGACCUUUCGAUUCUGGGUAUUUCUUUCCUUUUCUAGGCUUGUGUUGCCCAUCUCCAUCAGUACUUCCUGGGUUCCAGCCUUCUUUGUCCCUUGCUCCUCCUCCUUCCCCCCAUACUCCCUCUAGCACAGUUCUUCCUGUUUCCUUUUUAUCUGCUCCUGUUCCUGUUCUUAGCCUAUCAGCAGACUUUUCCACAACUCCUCCAGUUUGGCUCAGAUACACCUAGCUUUUCCUAUUUGUUCCUCGAACAUACAGUUUUGGUUUAAAGCCUUUUUAGCUGUUUACCUUCCAUUAUGAGUAUACAGCUAUGUUAACAGAAAGUUUCUCCUGUUUGCUUCAGAUAAGGAAGCCCCGUUUGGGAUUCUUAGUAUACCUUAACUUGUUUAAGCUAAUUAAAUUUUGUUCUAGGAAGUCCUUCAAUAAUUUUCCCAAGUUUAAAACUAGUGUCAUGUUUAUAUUUUUUCUUAUCUAUCUUUGUCUCUCUUUAGCAGUCAACACCUGAGGGGAGGUACAGUAUUCUGAGGCUAAUGCCAUGUAUCCUCAAUGUUGUAAUGUGGUGGGAUGCCAGACUCUGGGAUGAUAAUGAGAUUACUUUUAUGCAUUUUGUUGUUCUUGUGUCUUGUCUGGAUUGGAAAGCCCUUAGAGUGUUGUGAUUAAAAUGAUAGAUUGUUCAUAGUUUGUUCAUUGUUUUCAUUUCGUAAUUGUUUGGGCAGGCUCAUAUUUCUUGUAACUGACACAUACCAUUUGACAGAAUUAACUUAGACCCAGGGCAGAAAUAAUAUUUGCAUGAUUCCUGUGGCUGUGUAAAGUACUAUUAGUUAAUGAUACAUCACUUUUCUGUUCCAACAGCUAUCCCCUUUUCCAGGGCACAGUGAGGCCAGCAGAUAUUGAGUAAACCAGAGAAAAUCAGGAAGGAGAAAGGUGCUGUGCUUGGAAGUGAAAUUAUGACAGCAACAAGUGGAGAAAUGGUUACUUGCACAUGAAGAUAUUUUAACCUAAAAAGUACUUUAUUUUUCUUGUUGAUGAUCAGAAAAGGGCAUCGAUAUGAUACCAUUUUAGGCAAUGUGGUAUAGCGGAUAUGUGGCUAACGUCAUUUCUGUGUCAUUUGUUUAAUAUGUAACGUUAGUCAAGUUACUAUGCCUCUGUGUUUUCUGAGGUAUACAGUUGGAAUAUCGGCACCUACCUGAAGCACUUGUUGUGAGAACUAUGUUAGUCAAAGCUUAGGUUGGGUGCUGAACAGAGUGCCAGGCCUCUCAGAGAAAAUACCGAGUUUGUUUUCUUUCUCUUUUGUACUCAUAACACAUGGUGUCAUUAAUAGCAGACAUUUGUUCUUAUAGUAUUGGUAAUAGACCAGUGCAGAUUGGCAGACAGGAUAGUUUUGUGACUUUUUCACGUGGAAUGUGGAAGCACAAUGUGGUGUAGAAAGUGCUUGGGAUUUGAAGGCAGGUCAUUUGAGUUGGAGAAUCCACCAGUUAAAGUGUAUGAAUUUAGGUUAGUCCCUUCACUACUCAUCUGUAAAAUGAGGGUAACAGUGUGCUCUCACUUGUAGUUAAAUGGGGGUAGUGAAUGGUCAGUGAAAGUAAUAUAUGUGAAAGUGUUUUAUGAACUUGGUUUUCAGUGAACGUUACUUUUUUUUUGUUUUUGAGAUGGAGUCUUGUUCUGUUACCCACGCUGGAGUGUAGUGGUACGAUCUUGGCUCACUGCAACCUCUGCCUCCCGGGUUCAAGCAAUUCUCCUGCCUGAGCUUCUUGAGUAGCUAGGAUACAGGUUCAUGCCACCACGCCCAGCUAAUUUUUGCAUUUUUAGUAGAGACAGGUUUUCGCUGUUUUGGCCAGGCUGGUCUCAAACUCCUGACACCGUGAUUCACCUGCCUUGACCUCCCAAUGUGCUGAGAUUACAGGCGUGACCCACGACACCCAGCUCGUGACAUUACUUUUUAUAAAGACUAGCUUUUUUGUUGUUGUUGUUUUGCAACCCCCUUGCCCCUCCCAAGACUAGCUUAUACUUGAUGAUUGUAGUCUCUUCUUAGAAUAUUUGUGUGUGUUAGUCCUUUGAGGAAUGAGGAACAACACUGUAUGUUGAAGUGUCACUUACAAGAGAUCCUAACAACAUCAAGGAGGUAACAGAACUAUACGUAUUUAGGGGGAUAUCCUGGGUUUACCUUUCAGGUCUUUGAUUGCAUCUAGUACUUUAGAUUGCUUUCAUUGCCUCCUCUUAUGCUUUUCCUUUUCCUUAAAAUGGUGUCUUUUAUAUGUUUAAAGUUUUUUCUUUUUUCUUUUUUCUGGGAAGAAGAUGAAUUAUCUUUAGGGAUUUGACUGGAAGACCAAUCAGAAUGUAUCUCUAUGUGCAUUUGACUUGGAUUGUUAUUCUGCCUUCUUAUAUCUUGUAAAAGGUUUGUGCAAAUCAUCUUAGCAGUAAACAAAACAAAAAGAUUUGGCUCUUUGGAAUGAGAGUGGCUAUAAUAUUAUUUCCCCUGAAUUGAAGUUUAAGGCAUUGGAACUUGGAGAUCUAGCAGAAUAACCCCUAAGUAUGAAGUUUUGAGUUAUAGUGAGAGAUUAUGAUCUUUUUUGGGUUCUUAUGACUAAAUAUAGCAAAACUACCUUCAGAAGUUUUUCAAAUAGCAUGAGCAACUCUGAUGUUUCAAAGUAUUAAUUAUGUAGAAGUUGUAAAUGGAGAGAGGCAUUUAGUUGCUUGGUCAUAAUAUUUAUAAAUGGGGAUAACUAUUUAGUCUAUUUCUAGUUCAGUUGGGUCUCUGACCAUAUUGAUCAUUAUAAGGAUUCAUAGUGUAUAUAUAUACAGAUUUUAGAGUAUGAACUCUGAAGUCAGACUGCCUGGGGUGACUACCAACCCAGGUACUUGCUGCCUGGGUUGCCUUGGACAGGUCACUUACCCACUCUGUUUCCUCACCCAUAUAAUAAGGAUAAUGAUACUCUACAGGGUUGUGGUAAGGAUUGAAUAAAAUAACAUUUGUAAAGUUCUUAGCACAAGGGCCUAACCCAGGCUGUUGUUACUGCUGCUGCAAUUGUUGUUGUUGUUUCCCUUGAAUGUCACAAAAGGCUUUUAGGAGAUUGAUACCUUCAACAUGUAACACAUACUGUACAUGGCACAGUACACCAUGAAAAAUUGAGAAAGAUCUCCAUGAGGUGAACUGUUCAAAAUGCUUUGUGAAUAAGCUUAACCAGUACAGUCAUCAAAGGGUAUUUUUAAGCAUUGUAUAAUAGCCGUGAUUAUACCUCUAUGCUUAAUUUGAACUGAUUAAUUAAUGGUCAUUUCUUGUUUCCCAGUCACUAGUUUAUAUCACAUUUUAUGAAAUCUGUGUUUUGUAAAUAAAUUAGUCUAAAAGCACAUUAUCUGCAGGUAAAGUGUUUGGCUUUAGCCAGUUAAAUAAAGUCUGACUUUAUUAAAGCUGAUCAUUUAAUUAGAAUGAAUUUCUUGGUUCAAUGGUUACUUAUCAGGAGAAAUAUGGCCAGUGGUAGAGCAGGUUUCUGACUUUGAAAAGCUUUUAUGGUGUAGACUUUUUAACAAGGUAAUUGAGGAAUCAAUUUUCAAAUUUUCUUCUGACCUUUCUAUUUACUGAUAAUUCAUUGCUGUGAAGGUAUUAAAUUUUAUUAUUUGGUCUAUUUAUUAGUUCAAUAAAUAGUUUUUGAGUCCAUGCUAUUUGUAAGACAGGAGCUAAUGACAACAGGGAUGAUGAAUUAGAUAUAAAUUAUGUUUUCAAAAAGCUGGCAUUUUAGGAGUGUUCAGUUCUCAUUUGUAACCAUUCAUGACCUUUUAAAAUUUAUUCGCUUUACCUUAUGAUACUUUAAUAGAUGUUUGUUUUUUCUCUGGUUUGCUAUACUUAAUACAGCAAAAAUGCUCUUUCCUGUGAGAUUUGAUGGGAAAGAAAGGCCUAUAGAGAUGGUCCUAAGGAACUUUGCUAUGAUAAAUUAUAACGAUCAUGUUGUAAGGAUAAAGUAAUGUGAAUAUUUGUAGAUACACAUUAUUUAUCCUGCUUGUUCUUCAGUCAGCUAAUUGAUACCUAUCAAUGGUUGGCAAAUUUAGAUUUAUGCCUGGGUUUGUCACUUCUGCUUUAAAAUAACCUAGUGAGAUUUGUCUGAUGAUCAUUAGUCACAUUGGACAUUAUUAUUAACACAUCAAAAAGUUGUCCUUGUGUUCAGUAUUGUUCAAAAGAUCAUUUUUAAUUCGAUUUAUGCCAAUGUAUUUUUGAUUGCUAAGAUUUCCUAAGGAGAGCAGUAGUCCUCAGUUACGUAUUCUGGCCAUCAUAUUGAAAGGAAGUGUCAGCCCAGGUACAAGCAUGUGUUUAUUCACUGAUUAUUGAUGGAUUUGGUUGUAAAGUACAGUUGGAAUAAUUUAGAUCAGGGAAGCUUUAUUGACCAGUAAAACUUGUCACACAAAUGCAUUCUGCCGUCUGGAUUCCAAGUUAAAAGGGAGGUGCAUUUAUUUUCUCAUGCAUUGACCAAGGCAGAGAGGGCAUAAGUUUAUAAGAGCACUUCCAUUGCUAAUAAGGAUGGCACUUAAUUUUAAUUUCUGUUUUCCUUUCAUGGUCUUAAGAAAGAGGAAACUAAUUGCUUUUCUUAUUAUUUUAGUCUGAAUGUAGAUACUCAAGGGUGGAAUGAAGUCUUUUAAAGUUAAAGGAAAUACAAUCCUAAUUCAGAUGAAGAUUAUCUAGGUUAAGAAGGAAUCAAUUCUGUUUUCAAUUUUUGUUGCCUCACAUUAUUAUAAAAAUAUUCUUACUUAUAACUGAAUAUUCAUUUGAAUUGAUUAUUGUGGGAAUAUGAAAUUCCAUCUCUUUUCUACUCAAUUCUCCUUUAAAUUUUUUUAUUUUAUUAUGUUGCUAUAGUAUGGGUAAUUAAAAAAAAUUUUUUUUUUAAUUUUCAGUUAUAAAAAUUAGGUUGCCAUUUGUUGGCUGGGCACAGUGGCUCAUGUCUAUAAUCCCAGCACUUUGGGAGACUGAGGUGGGUGGAUCACCUGAGAUCAGGAGUUCGAGACCAGCCUGACCAACAUGGAGAAACCCUGUCUCUACUAAAAAUACAAAAAUAGCCAGGCAUGGUGGUACAUGCCUGUAAUCCCAGCUACUCAGGAGGCUGAGGCAGGAGAAUCUCUUAAAUCUGGGAGGUAGGGUUGCAGUGAGCCAAGAUCGUACCAUUGCACUCCAGCCUGGGCAACAAGAGUGAAACAACAUCUCAAAAAAAAAAAAAAAAAAAAUAUAUAUAUAUAUAUACAUAAAAAUAUAUAAAAGUAAAAGUUAGUUUACUAUUUGCCAAAGUUUGGGUAUGUAAGAUGAAUUUAGGUAAUCUUUGAAUGAAUAUUUAAAGUUUGGUAGUUAAUUUAUCUUUUGAAACAUAAGAAAAAUUAACAUGAAUAAAAUAUUUUUAAUGGUUUUAUUACUUAAAGUGAGGCUAAAUUUUUAGGUAAAUUAAGGCCAAGUGCGGUAGCUCACACCUGUAAUUCUAGCACUUUGGGAGGCAGAGGCAGGAGGAUCACUUGAGCCCAGGAGUUUGAGAUCAGCCUUGUCAACAUAUCUCUACCAAAAAUUUUAAAACUAGCUGAGUGUGGUGGCAUGCACCUUUAGUCCCAGCCACUCAGGAGGCUGAGGUGGGAGGACUGUGUGAGCCUGGAAGGUCAAAUCGGCAAUGAGUCAUGAUCAUGCCACUGCACUGCAGCCUGGGUAACAGUGUGAGACCCUGUCUCAAAAAAAAAGUUAAUUUAAAGAAAAACAAUAAAGGUGUUAUGUGGAUAUGACAAAAAUCAAAAGAUGAUCAAGAUUGAAGCUUGCAAAAUAUUGCAUUAGAUAACCCUUUAUAUCUUCUCUUUUCCUCAUGGAAUUGGAGAAAUGGAAGGAUUUUCAUUUUAUAGGAAAGGUAGCUGAGAUCUAGACAGGUGACUUGCCCAGAGCUGCUUGUGUAGUCUCUGGCUGUCAGGGCUCUAAGUAGGGCUCCUUGCUCCCAGGCAGAUGCUGUUUCUCUCUUUUCCUUUUGUAGGCAGGUCACAUUUUCUGGAACUGUCCUAAAGAAUCGAAAACUGAAUGUUAGCAGUUUCUGGAGCACCUGUACAACUCUGGUUGCUUCUCUUAAAUUAUAAAUUACAUCUCUGCGUUUUGCUGUAACUAAGGUUAACUUGUUUUACUUAAGUAUGUUUAUUUACUAGUUAAAAAUGUUUAUUGAGUACCCAUUGUGUGCCCCUUUAAUCUUAAUAACUAUGAAAAUUAUUAUUUAACUUUUUUCUUUCUCUUAGCUUGUAACAUAUGCCAGGCCUUCUGCUAAGCACUUUACAUGUCUAAUUUGCCACUUGGAAAAUAGCCAGUGUUACCUGUAGUGUAGAAAGGCAGAGAGAUUUGAAGGUUUUGUAUUAGUUGUCAUAAGUGAGUGCUAAAGCAUCAAGAAAGGGCAUUGAUAAGUUACUGCUGAGGGUUCUAUAAUCCAGAGAACAGGCAAUGCGUUAGUGGAAAAGUAGACAUUAUAAUUCAUUAUUUGUGGGUAAAAAGAAGUGAAAUAUGGCCGGUUGGAACACAAUGGUGCUUACAACUAAUUGAUCUCAACCAGUUACAGAUUUCUUUGUUCCUUCUCCAGUACUAUUGCUUCACUUAACUGGUCAUAAAAAAGUGAAGUGAAACAUAAUUCUAGGGGCAAAAAAGAUUUUUAUUACCAUGAUCCAUUACUUUAUAGAAAAUUUGCUUCCAAUAACUGCUUUUCAAGUUUUUGUUCUUUUCAGUUUUAAUACUUCUUGGUCACCACUGCCAUUAUAAUAUAAGCUUCCCAGAACAUAACUCUCAUUGUUUCCCACCCCCUGCUGAUCUGCAGCACUCCCCAGUGCCUACUGAAUUAAGAAGGAAUGCCUCGCCCAACAGUCAACGAGACGUUGCUGUUUGU